RNAcentral lists this ribosomal RNA (253 nucleotides) under uncultured bacterium. RNAcentral describes it as "partial 16S ribosomal RNA". It matches the Rfam family "Bacterial small subunit ribosomal RNA", at positions 524 to 776 of the family's 1533-position model. The record is from RNAcentral.
UACGAGAGGCCCAAACGUUAUUCGGAAUUACUGGGCUUAAAGAGUUCGUAGGCGGCUCAGAAAGUAGGGUGUGAAAGCCCUCGGCUUAACCGAGGAAUUGCGCCCUAAACUACUGUGCUUGAGGAACCUAGAGGUGAGCAGAACAGAUGGUGGAGCGGUGAAAUGCGUUGAUAUCAUCUGGAAUACCGGAGGCGAAGGCGGCUCACUGGGGGUUUUCUGACGCUGAGGAACGAAAGCCAGGGUAGCGAACGGG